GAUGAACGCUGGCGGCGUGCCUAAUACAUGCAAGUCGAGCGAACAGACGAGGAGCUUGCUCCUCUGACGUUAGCGGCGGACGGGCGAGUAACACGUGGAUAACCUACCUAUAAGACUGGGAUAACUUCGGGAAACCGGAGCUAAUACCGGAUAAUAUAUUGAACCGCAUGGUUCAAUAGUGAAAGACGGUUUUGCUGUCACUUAUAGAUGGAUCCGCGCCGCAUUAGCUAGUUGGUAAGGUAACGGCUUACCAAGGCAACGAUGCGUAGCCGACCUGAGAGGGUGAUCGGCCACACUGGAACUGAGACACGGUCCAGACUCCUACGGGAGGCAGCAGUAGGGAAUCUUCCGCAAUGGGCGAAAGCCUGACGGAGCAACGCCGCGUGAGUGAUGAAGGUCUUCGGAUCGUAAAACUCUGUUAGUAGGGAAGAACAAAUGUGUAAGUAACUAUGCACGUCUUGACGGUACCUAAUCAGAAAGCCACGGCUAACUACGUG
Molecule: ribosomal RNA, 497 nt
Filed under: uncultured bacterium
Lineage: Bacteria
Description: partial 16S ribosomal RNA
Rfam family: Bacterial small subunit ribosomal RNA
Source: RNAcentral